Molecule: ribosomal RNA, 457 nt
Filed under: uncultured bacterium
Lineage: Bacteria
Description: bacterial SSU rRNA
Rfam family: Bacterial small subunit ribosomal RNA
Source: RNAcentral
AGUAGUUUGAUCAUGGCUACAGAACGAACGCUGGCGGCAGGCUUAACACAUGCAAGUCGAACGGUUGUAGCAAUACAGCAGUGGCGCACGGGUGAGUAACGCGUGGAUAUCUGCCUUUUGGUUCGGAAUAACUCCGGGAAACUGGAGCUAAUACCGGAUGGUUCCUGCGGGAUAAAGAUUUAUCGCCAAAAGAUGAGUCCGCGUACGAUUAGCUAGUUGGUGAGGUAAUGGCUCACCAAGGCGACGAUCGUUAGCUGGUCUGAGAGGACGAUCAGCCACACUGGGACUGAGACACGGCCCAGACUCCUACGGGAGGCAGCAGUGGGGAAUAUUGGACAAUGGGGGCAACCCUGAUCCAGCCAUGCCGCGUGAGUGAUGAAGGCCUUCGGGUUGUAAAGCUCUUUUGGCGGGGACGAUGAUGACGGUACCCGCAGAAUAAGCCCCGGCUAACUUCGUG